GACGGAGGAUGCAAGCGUUAUCCGGAAUUAUUGGGCGUAAAGCGUACGUAGGCUGUUAGAUAAGUCUGUUGUCAAAGCGCGAGGCUCAACCUUGUAAAGGCAAUGGAAACUGUUUGACUAGAGAGAGAUAGGGGCAGGAGGAAUUCCAGGUGUAGCGGUGAAAUGCGUAGAUAUCUGGAAGAACACCAGUGGCGAAAGCGUCCUGCUGGAUCUCAACUGACGCUGAAGUACGAAAGCUAGGGGAGCGAAUGGG
RNAcentral lists this ribosomal RNA (253 nucleotides) under uncultured bacterium. Its description in RNAcentral is "partial 16S ribosomal RNA". It matches the Rfam family "Bacterial small subunit ribosomal RNA", at positions 524 to 776 of the family's 1533-position model. The record is from RNAcentral.